AGUGAACGCUGGCGGUAGGCCUAACACAUGCAAGUCGAACGGCAGCACAGUAAGAGCUUGCUCUUACGGGUGGCGAGUGGCGGACGGGUGAGGAAUACAUCGGAAUCUACUUUUUCGUGGGGGAUAACGUAGGGAAACUUACGCUAAUACCGCAUACGACCUACGGGUGAAAGCAGGGGAUCUUCGGACCUUGCGCGAUUGAAUGAGCCGAUGUCGGAUUAGCUAGUUGGCGGGGUAAAGGCCCACCAAGGCGACGAGCCGUAGCUGGUCUGAGAGGUUGACCGGCCACACUGGAACUGAGAAACGGUCCGGCUUCCUACGGGAGGAACCAGUGGGGAAUAUUGGACAAGGGGCGCAAGCCUGAUCCAGCCAUACCGCGUGGGGGAAGAAGGCCUUCGGGUUGUAAAGCCCUUUUGUUGGGAAAGAAAAGCAGCAGGUUAAUACCCCGCUGUUCUGACGGUACCCAAAGAAUAAGCACCGGCUAACUUCGUG
RNAcentral lists this ribosomal RNA (492 nucleotides) under uncultured bacterium. RNAcentral's name for it is "partial 16S ribosomal RNA". It matches the Rfam family "Bacterial small subunit ribosomal RNA", at positions 29 to 507 of the family's 1533-position model. The record is from RNAcentral.